RNAcentral lists this unclassified non-coding RNA (393 nucleotides) under Hevea brasiliensis (rubber tree). The record is from RNAcentral. Lineage: Eukaryota; Viridiplantae; Streptophyta; Magnoliopsida; Malpighiales; Euphorbiaceae.
CUUUGCCAGAUCAAGAAUAUCCUGCAAAAGUACUGGUAAGCAACUGCAUCUGUAAAUACCCAUAUGCAAAAGAACUUCUAUUAAGCAAACUUAAAAACUCAAGGUUAAUGAGACAUUAGAAAGUAAAACUAACUGAAACAUUGCAGUGUUGCAAGACAUAAAAUCUUUACCAACCUUCAGCAAUUCAGUAACACAAGUCAUUUGCAUCCAACCCAUUUCUGCAUAAAAUGACAUAAGUUUGCACAAAUAUAUGCAUGCUCAUGUACACAUGCAUAGACACAUAAAGAAAAGGAAUUAACCAUGAUUCAAUCAUCAGAAAAAUUACCAUAAACACAAGAAACUCACCAGCAUGCCUGAUGAGCAAAAACGCGUGCCAUGAUUACAUCAUUAUAG